Molecule: long non-coding RNA, 259 nt
Filed under: Lathyrus oleraceus (garden pea)
Lineage: Eukaryota; Viridiplantae; Streptophyta; Magnoliopsida; Fabales; Fabaceae
Description: Pisum sativum (pea) long non-coding RNA (PSAT_LNC004771)
Source: RNAcentral
UUGACUGUUGCUUUUCCUAAUACUACUUGUGAAUUUAUAUUUAAGAAUCAUUAUAGAAAUAACUCUACUCCUAAUAGUCAGAAGUAAAAUUGGUCUUAUUUGAACUCACUUCAUCCAGUGAUGCUUUCCCAAUACCUCCCGUGAAGAUCCUAUCAGGGCUCCCCCUAAAUUUGAGAGACCUCUCACUUCCAGUUAAACAUUCUUCCAAGUGCUUGGAUAGUUACAAAAGCAUAAGAAUGAUGACAAAAAAUUGCAAGUC